UCUGUACAUAUUGCAUGUAUUCAUCAGGUAUGAAAGGCUGAUCACCUUCAUUACCAGUCAGUUCAGAUAUAAUUGUUAUGUUCAUUUUCAAUGUUCAUUCAGCUUUGAAAUUUUGUUCAUGCUAAUUCACAACUACAUUGUGAAGGAUAGCCAGCUUAUUAUUCAAACUCUUUCAAUCAUGAUAUAUCUUUACCUUGUUUUUUUUAAACUUGCUGGGCAACUUUCAUGCUCACACUUGCUAUAUCAUGAUAAAACAUUGCAGAUAAGGCGAAUACGGCCAGUUACAGGAAAAGGAUGAUGCCAAGUUCAGCUUGGGAUAGAAUGUGAAGUUAAGUUGUAAAGUAUGUUGAAGAAUAGUAUUGUCAUGUGUUAGACAGUCAUGAUUGUGUAUAAGUUAAGGUUACUCGAUUUUGGGAAUAGUGUGUAAAGUUUAAUGUAUAAACAAUUUAUGUUUAUAUCUUCCGCAAACAGUUGUAGAAAUAGCGAACCGGAUCCGCGGCGAUUCGGGACCCGAAUUCGGGGCUGCUACAGAAU
This 534-nucleotide long non-coding RNA is filed under the name Panax ginseng (ginseng). RNAcentral's name for it is "long non-coding RNA (PGIN_LNC003568)". Lineage: Eukaryota; Viridiplantae; Streptophyta; Magnoliopsida; Apiales; Araliaceae. The record is from RNAcentral.